GCUAAAACCUUAGCCCACUUGAACACCCAAACUUAAUCCACCCACCUAAAAUAUUCUGACAAGCAAGUAGAGAUGAUCAAAAACUUAUUAGAGCAAUUCUUACCGCAAGGGAACAGUGAAAUAACAAUGAAAACCCUUAAGCGCAAAACAGUAGAGAUUGACCCUCGUACCUUUCGCAUCAUGGUUUAGCUAGUCUACUCAAGCAAAAAGAAUUUAAGUUUUCCCCCCCGAAACCAGGUGAGCUACCUGGGGGCAGCUUACUGAGCACACCCUUCUCUGUCGCAAAAGAGUGGGAAGACCCCUUGGUAGAGGUGACAUACCUAACGAACCUGGCGAUAGCUGGUUACUUAAGAAAAGAAUUUUAGUUCAACCUAGAGCUUCCCAAGCCCCUCCAAGCAACCCCCAAGCUUUAGAGCAACUCAAAUAAGGUACAGCUUAUUUGAACAAGGACACAACCUAAUCUAACGGGUAACUAAUCUAAAAUAGCCCAGUUGGCCUAAAAGCAGCCACCAUUUAAAAGCGUCAAAGCCUAACACAGCCCCAAACACCAAUCCCCCCGCCCAUCCCGAACCCUUAACCAAUAUUAAGUACUUCUAUGCCCCCAUAGAAAUUUUUAUGUUAAAACUAGUAAUGUGAAACACCUUCUCCUAAUGUAAGCAUAAAUCAGACAGAAACCCGCACUGAUAAUUAACAACCCAAAGUAGCAACCCCACAAGAAAACCCUGCCUCAACCCCCGUUAAUCUAACACAAGAACAUUACAAGAAAGAUCAAAAGAAAGAGAAGGAACUCGGCAAAUAAUGAUCUCGCCUGUUUACCAAAAACAUCGCCUCUUGCACCUCAUAAGAGGUCCAGCCUGCCCAGUGACUCUGUUCAACGGCCGCGGUAUCCUGACCGCGCGAAGGUAGCGUAAUCACUUGUUUUUUAAAUGAAGACUAGUAUGAAAGGCACCACGAAAAUCAAACUGUCUCCUCUUUCCCAUCAAUGAAACUAAUCUCCCCGUGAAGAAGCGGGGAUCUCUCUAUAAGACGAGAAGACCCUAUGGAGCUUCAAACUAAAUUAGCACUUUGCCACACUUUCACCCCGAAAUACCCACGCAUUCGUUCUAUGAGUUUUAGGUUGGGGCGACCGCGGAGAAUAAACCACCCUCCACGCUGACAAGAACCACUUCUUAAUGAAAAACCACAACUUUUCAAAUCAACAUAUUGACAUCUAUUGACCCACACUCUGAUCAACGGACCAAGUUACCCUAGGGAUAACAGCGCAAUCUACUUCAAGAGCUCAUAUCGACAGGUAGGCUUACGACCUCGAUGUUGGAUCAGGAAAUCCUAGUGGUGCAGCAGCUACUAAAGGUUCG
This 1355-nucleotide ribosomal RNA is filed under the name Euparkerella tridactyla (three-toed Guanabara frog). Its description in RNAcentral is "partial large subunit ribosomal RNA". It matches the Rfam family "Bacterial large subunit ribosomal RNA", at positions 436 to 2575 of the family's 2925-position model. The record is from RNAcentral. Lineage: Eukaryota; Metazoa; Chordata; Amphibia; Anura; Craugastoridae.